RNAcentral lists this ribosomal RNA (500 nucleotides) under uncultured bacterium. RNAcentral's name for it is "partial 16S ribosomal RNA". It matches the Rfam family "Bacterial small subunit ribosomal RNA", at positions 30 to 523 of the family's 1533-position model. The record is from RNAcentral.
AUUGAACGCUGGCGGAAUGCUUUACACAUGCAAGUCGAACGGCAGCACGGACUUCGGUCUGGCGGCGAGUGGCGAACGGGUGAGUAAUGUAUCGGAACGUGCCCAGUCGUGGGGGAUAACGUAGUGAAAAUUACGCUAAUACCGCAUACGAUCUAUGGAUGAAAGCGGGGGAUCGCAAGACCUCGCGCGAUCGGAGCGGCCGAUAUCAGAUUAGGUAGUUGGUGGGGUAGAGGCCCACCAAGCCAACGAUCUGUAGCUGGUCUGAGAGGACGACCAGCCACACUGGAACUGAGACACGGUCCAGACUCCUACGGGAGGCAGCAGUGGGGAAUUUUGGACAAUGGGCGAAAGCCUGAUCCAGCCAUUCCGCGUGCAGGAUGAAGGCCCUCGGGUUGUAAACUGCUUUUGUACAGAACGAAAAGGUUUCUACUAAUACUAGGAGCUCAUGACGGUACUGUAAGAAUAAGCACCGGCUAACUACGUGCCAGCCGCCGCCGUAA